AACCCAUGGUGAUGGCACUUUCUCAAUAAAUCUUUUUAUCUUUCCCAUGCAUCAUAAAGUGUUUCUAAAUCCAUCUGUACAAAAGAAGAGAUAUCAUUCCUCAAUUU
Non-coding RNA from Gossypium arboreum, 107 nucleotides. The record is from Rfam. Lineage: Eukaryota; Viridiplantae; Streptophyta; Magnoliopsida; Malvales; Malvaceae.